AAAGCAAACUCACUGCACUGUAUAAUUUAAC
RNAcentral lists this non-coding RNA (31 nucleotides) under Trypanosoma brucei brucei. The record is from RNAcentral. Lineage: Eukaryota; Euglenozoa; Kinetoplastea; Trypanosomatida; Trypanosomatidae.